UUCAUGCUAAUGCAUUAACUACUGUUAACAGAUUGUAAAGUGUUACCAUCAUAAUGACUCUUCAGUGCAUUCCAGUCUUUUACUGUAUAAUAUUGUGUGUAUGUGUUUUUAUGGUAAACAUAGUUUCUAUCCGUUCCAUGUUUUCUAAGCUGCUGGUCAAGUGCAGGAGUCAUUUGCUGUAAAUGGACAAAUAAGUGCAAAUGCAGGCUUCUCCACAACGGCAGAUGCUUUGGGGGCUGAUAGCCUAACAUUCACAGAUGGGGUGUCUCCAGGAUUCAUGGCACCUGAUGGCAUGGGAGGCAACAGCAAUGAACUGAUGAACAGAGAUGAACGUUAUGAAGAUAAGCGUGUGCAUCCAAAGGGAAAGAAGAAAAAAGUAGGAAGAGAGGGGAUAACAGCUUCACCACUAAAGAGGAAAAGCAUCUAGUCAGCAUCUGAUUAUUAUGAAACGUGAUUUGGUAAAUAACACUUAUUUUCUGUUUAUUUAGCAUUAGUAGUCUAUUUCUAUAAGCUUAAAGGGACAGUUCAUCCA
Molecule: long non-coding RNA, 532 nt
Organism: Cyprinus carpio carpio
Lineage: Eukaryota; Metazoa; Chordata; Actinopteri; Cypriniformes; Cyprinidae
Source: Ensembl